AGAAUCAACGCUGGCGGCGUGCCUAACACAUGCAAGUCGAACGAGAAAGGGGAGCAAUCCCCGAGUAUAGUGGCGCACGGGUGAGUAACACGUGAAUAAUCUACCUCCGAGUGGGGAAUAACUGAGAGAAAUCUUAGCUAAUACCGCAUAACACUUACGAGUCAAAGCAGCAAUGCGCUUGGAGAGGAGUUCGCGGCCGAUUAGUUAGUUGGCGGGGUAAUGGCCCACAAGACGAUGAUCGGUA
Molecule: ribosomal RNA, 244 nt
Filed under: uncultured bacterium
Lineage: Bacteria
Description: partial small subunit ribosomal RNA
Rfam family: Bacterial small subunit ribosomal RNA
Source: RNAcentral